This 433-nucleotide ribosomal RNA is filed under the name uncultured bacterium. RNAcentral's name for it is "partial 16S ribosomal RNA". It matches the Rfam family "Bacterial small subunit ribosomal RNA", at positions 29 to 507 of the family's 1533-position model. The record is from RNAcentral.
AACGAACGCUGGCGGCAUGCCUAACACAUGCAAGUCGAACGAGACCUUCGGGUCUAGUGGCGCACGGGUGCGUAACGCGUGGGAACCUGCCCUUAGGUUCGGAAUAACUCCCCGAAAGGGGUGCUAAUACCGGAUAAUGUCUUCGGACCAAAGAUUUAUCGCCUUUGGAUGGGCCCGCGUUGGAUUAGCUAGUUGGUAGGGUAAAAGCCUACCAAGGCGACGAUCCAUAGCUGGUCUGAGAGGAUGAUCAGCCACACUGGGACUGAUACACGGCCCAGACUCCUACGGGAGGCAGCAGUGGGGAAUAUUGGACAAUGGGCGAAAGCCUGAUCCAGCAAUGCCGCGUGAGUGAUGAAGGCCUUAGGGUUGUAAAGCUCUUUUACCCGGGAUGAUAAUGACAGUACCGGGAGAAUAAGCUCCGGCUAACUCCGUG